GCCGCGGUUCCGCCGCCAGGCGCAGGGUCGGGGCCUUCUCCAGGAGGGCCGUCAUCGAGGCGGCCAGUUCGAUGCGGGCCAGCGGUGC
This 88-nucleotide transfer RNA is filed under the name Streptomyces capillispiralis. Its description in RNAcentral is "tRNA-Trp". Lineage: Bacteria; Bacillati; Actinomycetota; Actinomycetes; Kitasatosporales; Streptomycetaceae. The record is from RNAcentral.